GACGAACGCUGGCGGCGUGCCUAAUACAUGCAAGUCGAACGAAGCUGUUUUAACUGGUGCUUGCACCGACUUAAACAACUGAGUGGCGAACGGGUGAGUAACACGUGGGUAACCUGCACCAAAGCGGGGGAUAACAGUUGGAAACAGAUGCUAAUACCGCAUAACCACAGAAACCACAUGGUUUCUGUGUCAAAGAUGGUUUCGGCUAUCACGUCGGGAUGGACACGCGGCGUAUUAGCUAGUUGGUAAGGUAAUGGCUUACCAAGGCAAUGAUACGUAGCCGAACUGAGAGGUUGAUCGGCCACAUUGGGACUGAGACACGGCCCAAACUCCUACGGGAGGCAGCAGUAGGGAAUCUUCCACAAUGGACGAAAGUCUGAUGGAGCAACGCCGCGUGAGUGAAGAAGGUUUUCGGAUCGUAAAACUCUGUUGUCAGAGAAGAACGUGUGCGAGAGUAACUGCUCGUGCAGUGACGGUAUCUGGCCAGAAAGCCACGGCUAACUACGUGCCAGCCGCCGCGGUAA
RNAcentral lists this ribosomal RNA (524 nucleotides) under uncultured bacterium. RNAcentral describes it as "partial 16S ribosomal RNA". It matches the Rfam family "Bacterial small subunit ribosomal RNA", at positions 28 to 523 of the family's 1533-position model. The record is from RNAcentral.